GACGAACGCUGGCGGCGUGCUUAACACAUGCAAGUCGAACGGAAAGGCCCUGCUUUUGUGGGGUGCUCGAGUGGCGAACGGGUGAGUAACACGUGAGUAACCUGCCCUUGACUUUGGGAUAACUUCAGGAAACUGGGGCUAAUACCGGAUAGGAGCUCCUGCUGCAUGGUGGGGGUUGGAAAGUUUCGGCGGUUGGGGAUGGACUCGCGGCUUAUCAGCUUGUUGGUGGGGUAGUGGCUUACCAAGGCUUUGACGGGUAGCCGGCCUGAGAGGGUGACCGGCCACAUUGGGAAUGGGAUACGGCCCAGACUCCUACGGGAGGCAGCAGUGGGGAAUAUUGCACAAUGGGCGGAGGCCUGAUGCAGCAACGCCGCGUGCGGGAUGACGGCCUUCGGGUUGUAAACCGCUUUCGCCUGUGACGAAGCGUGAGUGACGGUAAUGGGUAAAGAAGCACCGGCUAACUACGUG
RNAcentral lists this ribosomal RNA (468 nucleotides) under uncultured bacterium. RNAcentral describes it as "partial 16S ribosomal RNA". It matches the Rfam family "Bacterial small subunit ribosomal RNA", at positions 28 to 507 of the family's 1533-position model. The record is from RNAcentral.